Molecule: ribosomal RNA, 480 nt
Filed under: uncultured Gammaproteobacteria bacterium
Lineage: Bacteria; Pseudomonadati; Pseudomonadota; Gammaproteobacteria
Description: bacterial SSU rRNA
Rfam family: Bacterial small subunit ribosomal RNA
Source: RNAcentral
GAGUUUGAUCAUGGCUCAGGACGAACGCUGGCGGUGUGCUUCACACAUGCAAGUCGAACGGGGUAGCAAUACCCAGUGGCGGACGGGUGAGUAACACGUGGGAAUCUACCAUAAAGGUGGGGAAUAACAGGCCGAAAGGUCUGCUAAUGCCGCAUAUGUAGGCAUCUCGACAGAGGUGUUUAUGAAAGGAGUAAUCCGCCUUUUGAUGAGCCCGCGUCCGAUUAGCUAGUUGGUAGGGUAAAAGCCUACCAAGGCGACGAUCGGUAGGUGGUCUGAGAGGAUGAUCACCCACAAUGGGACUGAGACACGGCCCAUACUCCUACGGGAGGCAGCAGUGGGGAAUUUUACGCAAUGGGGGAAACCCUGACGUAGCGACACCGCGUGAGCGAAGAAGCCCUUUGGGGUGUAAAGCUCUGUCAACAGGAACGAAAUCAAUGACGGUACCUGUGGAGGAAGCAUCGGCUAACUACGUGCCAGCAG